Molecule: ribosomal RNA, 253 nt
Filed under: uncultured bacterium
Lineage: Bacteria
Description: partial 16S ribosomal RNA
Rfam family: Bacterial small subunit ribosomal RNA
Source: RNAcentral
UACGUAGGUGGCAAGCGUUGUCCGGAUUUACUGGGCGGAAAGAGCGCGCAGGCGGUCGUUCAAGUCGCGUGUGAAAGCCCCCGGCUCAACUGGGGAGGGUCACGCGAUACUGAUCGACUCGAAGGCAGGAGAGGGUAGUGGAAUUCCCGGUGUAGCGGUGAAAUGCGCAGAUAUCGGGAGGAACACCAAUGGCGAAGGCAGCUCGCUGGGACGGUACUGACGCUGAGGCGCGAAAGCGUGGGGAGCAAACAGG